UGAAUGCACUUACUGUAAGUCGCUCUGGAUAAGAGCAUCUGCUAAAUUACUCAAA
Salmo salar (Atlantic salmon) is the source of this 55-nucleotide non-coding RNA. The record is from Rfam. NCBI's taxonomy places the organism in Eukaryota, Metazoa, Chordata, Actinopteri, Salmoniformes, Salmonidae.